AGGAUGAACGCUGGCGGCGUGCUUAACACAUGCAAGUCGAACGAUGAAGCAGAGCUUGCUCUGUGGAUUAGUGGCGAACGGGUGAGUAACACGUGAGUAACCUGCCCUUGACUCUGGAAUAAGCGUUGGAAACGACGUCUAAUACCGGAUACGAGCUUCCGCCGCAUGGUGAGGAGCUGGAAAGAAUUUCGGCCAAGGAUGGACUCGCGGCCUAUCAGGUAGUUGGUGAGGUAAUGGCUCACCAAGCCUACGACGGUAGCCGGCCUGAGAGGGUGACCGGCCACA
RNAcentral lists this ribosomal RNA (285 nucleotides) under uncultured soil bacterium. Its description in RNAcentral is "partial 16S ribosomal RNA". It matches the Rfam family "Bacterial small subunit ribosomal RNA", at positions 26 to 312 of the family's 1533-position model. The record is from RNAcentral.